UACGUAGGGUGCAAGCGUUAAUCGGAAUUACUGGGCGUAAAGCGUGCGCAGGCGGUUGUGCAAGACAGAUGUGAAAUCCCCGGGCUUAACCUGGGAAUUGCAUUUGUGACUGCACGGCUAGAGUGUGUCAGAGGGGGGUAGAAUUCCACGUGAAGCAGUGAAAUGCGUAGAUAUGUGGAGGAAUACCGAUGGCGAAGGCAGCCCCCUGGGAUAACACUGACGCUCAUGCACGAAAGCGUGGGGAGCAAACAGG
This 253-nucleotide ribosomal RNA is filed under the name uncultured bacterium. Its description in RNAcentral is "partial 16S ribosomal RNA". It matches the Rfam family "Bacterial small subunit ribosomal RNA", at positions 524 to 776 of the family's 1533-position model. The record is from RNAcentral.